AUGCCACACCAAACAAAGGACAAGUCAUUAAGUAAAGUUAAUUUGAUGGUAUAGCACUACUAUGGGCGCUUUUGUAAUAUGAUAAAGAAUAUUUAGAAUUAAAGGGAGAUCAAUUAAGAAUUAAGACAAGUUUAUAAAUAGUAGUAUUAAUGUGCGUUGUGCACUAUUUAUUAUUAAAUAAAGACUAAUAUUGAGAAAAAAAGGAAAAUUAUCAUUCGCAUAUCCUAUAUUUACUCUGUUAUCAAAAAUACUACAACACUUUGAGGGUGUAUCAAUCGUCUACCCUUAGUUGACAAAAUGUAUCAGUCGACCACCAAACCGUUAGUUGCCGUUUGAAAGUUAACAGAAUUACAGUGAAUUGACGAUUUUACCCUUGAAAAUUAUCACUUGUAUACCCUUAAAUUCUCUUUUUAUCACUUGUAUAUCCUUAAAUUAUCACUUGUAUUAUAUGAAAAGACUAAAUUACCCUUCUGACGUCAUCAUACUUAAACGGCAACUAACGAUUUAGUGGUUAGCUGAUACAUUUUAUCAACUUAGGGUGGACGAUUAAUACACUUUUAAAAUAUUAUAGUAUUUUUUAUAAUAGAGUAAACUAAGGAUAUACAAAUGAUAAUUUUUCUAAAAGGGGUUAAAAUAGGAUUAAUAUCUAUUACUAAGGCUCC
RNAcentral lists this long non-coding RNA (662 nucleotides) under Citrus x clementina. RNAcentral describes it as "Citrus clementina (C. clementina) long non-coding RNA (CCLE_LNC003120)". The record is from RNAcentral. Lineage: Eukaryota; Viridiplantae; Streptophyta; Magnoliopsida; Sapindales; Rutaceae.